Molecule: ribosomal RNA, 465 nt
Filed under: uncultured bacterium
Lineage: Bacteria
Description: partial 16S ribosomal RNA
Rfam family: Bacterial small subunit ribosomal RNA
Source: RNAcentral
CCUACGGGAGGCAGCAGUAGGGAAUCUUCCACAAUGGGCGAAAGCCUGAUGGAGCAACGCCGCGUGGGUGAAGAAGGUCUUCGGAUCGUAAAACCCUGUUGUCAGAGAAGAAAGAGCGUGAGAGUAACUGUUCACGCUUCGACGGUAUCUAACCAGAAAGCCACGGCUAACUACGUGCCAGCAGCCGCGGUAAUACGUAGGUGGCAAGCGUUAUCCGGAUUUAUUGGGCGUAAAGGGAACGCAGGCGGUCUUUUAAGUCUGAUGUGAAAGCCUGCGGCUUAACCGGAGAAGUGCAUUGGAAACUGGGAGACUUGAGUGCAGAAGAGGUGAGUGGAACUCCAUGUGUAGCGGUGAAAUGCGUAGAUAUAAGGAGGAACACCAGUGGCGAAGGCGGCUCUCUGGUCUGUAACUGACGCUGAGGUUCGAAAGCGUGGGUAGCAAACAGGAUUAGAUACCCUAGUAGUC